AUUGUUUUGAACGAGAUCUAGUAAGUAGUUUUUUUUAAUACGUCAUAAAUCAACUGAACUUUUUUUUAUCAAACCCAUACGUGUGGGGUAUCUAUGGAUAGGUCUUGAAAAAUGAUAUUGAGGUUUCUAAUAUCAUUUUUUUCUAAACUGAAUAGUUUGCGCGAGAGACACUUCCAAAGUGGUAAAAUGUGUUUCCCCCCAACCCCCUUUGUAACUUCUAAAAUAAGAGAAUGAUAAAACUAAAAAAAAUAUAUGAUGUACAUUACCAUGCAAACUUCCACCGAAAAUUUGUUUGAACGAGACCUAGUAAGUAGUUUUUUUUUAAUACGUCAUAAAUCAAAUGAAACUCUUUUUUUUUGAUCAAACCCAUACGAGUGAUUUAU
Molecule: long non-coding RNA, 383 nt
Organism: Cydia splendana
Lineage: Eukaryota; Metazoa; Arthropoda; Insecta; Lepidoptera; Tortricidae
Exons: 3
Source: RefSeq, a predicted model, not a curated record